UUGCACGCUGGCGGCAGGCCUAACACAUGCAAGUCGCACGGUAACAGGAAACAGCUUGCUGUUUCGCUGACGAGUGGCGGACGGGUGAGUAAUGUCUGGGAAACUGCCUGAUGGAGGGGGAUAACUACUGGAAACGGUAGCUAAUACCGCAUAACGUCGCAAGACCAAAGAGGGGGACCUUCGGGCCUCUUGCCAUCGGAUGUGCCCAGAUGGGAUUAGCUAGUAGGUGGGGUAACGGCUCACCUAGGCGACGAUCCCUAGCUGGUCUGAGAGGAUGACCAGCCACACUGGAACUGAGACACGGUCCAGACUCCUACGGGAGGCAGCAGUGGGGAAUAUUGCACAAUGGGCGCAAGCCUGAUGCAGCCAUGCCGCGUGUAUGAAGAAGGCCUUCGGGUUGUAAAGUACUUUCAGCGGGGAUGAAGGGAGUAAAGUUAAUACCUUUGCUCAUUGACGUUACCCGCAGAAGAAGCACCGGCUAACUCCGUG
RNAcentral lists this ribosomal RNA (489 nucleotides) under uncultured bacterium. RNAcentral's name for it is "partial 16S ribosomal RNA". It matches the Rfam family "Bacterial small subunit ribosomal RNA", at positions 30 to 507 of the family's 1533-position model. The record is from RNAcentral.